Molecule: ribosomal RNA, 582 nt
Filed under: uncultured bacterium
Lineage: Bacteria
Description: bacterial SSU rRNA
Rfam family: Bacterial small subunit ribosomal RNA
Source: RNAcentral
CCUACGGGAGGCAGCAGUGAGGAAUAUUGCGCAAUGGAGGCAACUCUGACGCAGCAACGCCGCGUGCGGGAUGACGCUCUUAGGAGUGUAAACCGCUGUUAGCAGGGACGAAUGGAGUGCAGAAGAAAAGCUGCACAGAUGACGGUACCUGCAGAGGAAGCCCCGGCUAACUCCGUGCCAGCAGCCGCGGUAAUACGGAGGGGGCGAGCGUUGUCCGGAAUUAUUGGGCGUAAAGGGCGCGUAGGCGGGCUGAUCAGUCUGUGGUGAAAGUGUGCGGCUCAACCGUAGAAUUGCCUCAGAUACUGUUGGUCUUGAGUUCGGGAGAGGGAAGUGGAAUUCCUGGUGUAGCGGUGAAAUGCGUAGAUAUCAGGAAGAACACCGGUGGCGAAGGCGGCUUUCUGGUCCGAAACUGACGCUGAGGCGCGAAAGUGUGGGUAGCGAACAGGAUUAGAUACCCUGGUAGUCCACACAGUAAACGAUGGAUACUAGGUGUUGGAUGGCAACGUUCAGCGCCGGAGCAAACGCAUUAAGUAUCCCGCCUGGGGAGUACGGUCGCAAGAUUGAAACUUAAAGGAAUUGACG